This 253-nucleotide ribosomal RNA is filed under the name uncultured bacterium. RNAcentral's name for it is "partial 16S ribosomal RNA". It matches the Rfam family "Bacterial small subunit ribosomal RNA", at positions 524 to 776 of the family's 1533-position model. The record is from RNAcentral.
UACGUAGGGUGCAAGCGUUAAUCGGAAUUACUGGGCGUAAAGAGCGCGCAGGCGGUCGAUCAAGUCGAGUGUGAAAGCCCCCGGCUCAACUGGGGAGGGUCAUUCGAUACUGAUCGACUCGAAGGCAGGAGAGGGUAGUGGAAUUCCCGGUGUAGUGGUGAAAUGCGUAGAUAUCGGGAGGAACACUAGUGGCGAAGGCGACUACCUGGCCUGUUCUUGACGCUGAGGCGCGAAAGCUAGGGGAGCAAACGGG